AUACAUAAAAUAAAUAAAAAAAUCUUAAAAAAAAAAGAAUAUAGCUCUGGCUGACCUAUAACUUGCCAUGUGGCCCAGGUUAGCUUGAACCUCACUGAACCCCUCCUGCUUCUGCCCAUAGAGUAUUGGGAUUAAAGGCUUGGGCCACCACGCCCUUCUUGAGGCCACAUUAACUCCAAUAGUUUUCUUUCCAAGACACUCUGCCAAGCUACAGCUAAGCGUUGAGAGCCUCAGGGAAGCAGGGCAUGUCCAUUCCCACUGGGCAGCAGACACCACCAGGAGAAGCAGCUAUCUGUCCCUUUUGGGCUAAGCAUCAUGAGCCCCCAAGGUCAAGGUCUCUGCUGACCCAUCAGCAUUGGGAAACACAAGUGCUGUCAUCAGAAGGAGCCACUGCCCAACCCCCGCAGACUCCGGCUUCCUGCUUCGAGCUUGCUGCCCAACAGAUGUUCCUGUUGUGUGGGGCCUCCUAGAAUGUUCUGUGGAAACCCUACAGAUGCUCACUAAUGUGCAUGAAGUGGUCCCCAUCAGUUACCUCUUCUCUUAGAAGAAGCUUGGACUUGCCUGUGCUUUCCAGAGCUCCCAAGAGCAAGGCUCUGAUCUGAGUGAGUUCAGAGAAGCUUGUCACCUAUCACGGCUCUGAUUCUACCACUGUGAGGACAGCAGGGGGCAGCUGGAGCCUGCAGAUGUGGAGCAGCGAUGGGCCUCUAACAUCUGCUCCUGGCCAAGUCUUUCCAUUGCUUCCCACGAGAGGCCCCAUCAUGACGGGAGAGGCUUGGAUCAGUGAGUUUGGGUUCAAUGACUUAGAAUCCGGGCUUGCUGGCACUCUGAAGCAUCUAUAUUCCCUUGGGGCUUGUGCUGGAGGUCCCAUCUCUGAGGAAGAGGAACAGUGGGGGUGGAGCAGGACCCAUCUUCCUGCUAGCCCAGGAUCUGAAGGCCAAGGCCCAUGUUCCUGGGGUGGUGGGAGAGUCCACUGUGUCUCCUCUAAUGAUCCAAGGUCAAAGUCAGACAUUUGCAUGGGGAAAGGUUCCUGGGGCUUUUAGGACAAAUGGGGAAAGCACAGUGAACUUGGAUAAAGGAGGCAGACAGGCACGCGCGCGCACACACACGCGCGCGCGCGCACACACACACACACACACACACACACACACACACACACACGCACACGCACACGCACACACACACACACAGAGGAAAGCUGCAUAGUGACCAUACAUGACCCACACACACAAUGCAGGGCGUCUUUGACCCAACUACUGCUCCAGGCCCCUGUGGAGCGAGCAGACUUCUCUGAAGCUCUGUUAAAACACGUCGUUUUAGGGUACAAGUGAAUAGCGGCAUUAUUCAAAUUCAAGGGGGCCAGGUCUGCUGGUUCAGGCCUGCCGUGGCAGUUACUCAGAGCAGAGGCAGGUUAUAAAUUCAAAGCCUGCCUGGGCAACAGAUUUCAAGCCCACUCUGGGCAAUUUAGUGAGGCUCUGUCUCCAAAGAAAAAAGGAGAAAAAAAAAAUCAAAGAGAAAUGGAAUCUUCCUGCCUACACCCUGGGAUAUGAGUUCCCUUCCGGCAAGUCCUAAUUUUGGCAUGAGAUACUCCAGACAUACAGGAAAACAACGCUCCCACACUCAAACUCCCUCUCCAUAAAAGCAGCAUGCUGUCCUUUCACAACAGAGUUUGUGGUCCAGAGGGCAGAUCACAUUGAUCUUACAGCUCUGCAGAUAUCCCACACAUACACCCACACACACACACACAAGCUGCCCCCGUGGAGAGCACAAAACAGCUGGUCAUUUCUAGACUACACAAGGUGGUGACUGAGCAUCUGGAUCCUUGCUCUGGUUAGUGUUAGGAUACUUUGUAUCCUCUGUAUUUAUAGCUGAGCUGUCUUCCAACACAUGGGAAGCCCAGGAUCCUGGACAGAUUUCACUGGUGAUGGCACAAGACGGAACUGCCUUUGUGUCUCUUGCUUCUUCCAGAGGGUGAGCCCGUCCAGCCCGAGUCCCUGGACCCUGGACACUGCAGGCUGUGAACUUCUCAGAUGACCGACUUUCCCCAUCUGAGUAGCAGCCCUGCUUGUUGAGCUCACUGUACGGUGAUCAGGGUUUAUCUUCAUACAGUAACGAUAAGAAAGGAAGCCAAGGCCAUGUGCAGCUUCUCUAUAUCAGACAUCCUGAGGAAGGGUGUUGGACAGUCAAGGAGUACAUUGGGAGAGAGGACUCGUGACCUGAGUCACGGGGAGUGUGUGCCUGAGGCAGCCUAACCAAGUCCAUCUUCAUUUCAAGCAUUCGGUUUUGUGGAACCCCUUCUCCUGACAACUUAGAUACCGCCUGGUUAUGAACCAAAUGGAUGGUGGGAAGGGUCUCCAUCCCGCUGCUCCCUUGGCUCUGCUGGCAGUAAUCACGGGAACUGAUGAGAGCUGCCUAACUCCACAUUUGUUUGACUGUUGCUUCCCUGUCGGUUUGAGCCCGUCUCUAGCGACAGAAGCGGGUGUAGACACAGAGCAGGAGCCAGUUUAGUGAUAGAGAUCAGACUCAGUGCUUCCAUGUCCCUAUGGGGCCUUCAAGGACCAAGUGUUCUUGUCAAAGAGGGCUUGGAGGAAAUGUCACAGCAGUAAAGCAGGGGUGGGGGUGGGGGGAGGUGGCCGGU
Mus musculus (house mouse) is the source of this 2635-nucleotide long non-coding RNA. RefSeq annotates it as predicted gene, 26812. NCBI's taxonomy places the organism in Eukaryota, Metazoa, Chordata, Mammalia, Rodentia, Muridae. The record is from RefSeq and is a predicted model, not a curated record. The transcript has 3 exons.